GACGAAGGGGGCUAGCGUUGUUCGGAAUUACUGGGCGUAAAGCGCGUGUAGGCGGUUGCCAUAGUCAGGUGUGAAAGCCUUGAGCUUAACUCAAGAAAUGCACUUGAUACUGGGCGACUAGAGGACCGGAGAGGUAGCUGGAAUUCUUGGUGUAGCAGUGAAAUGCGUAGAGAUCAAGAGGAACACUCGUGGCGAAAGCGAGCUACUGGACAAUUCCUGACGCUGAGGCUCGAAGGCUAGGGUAGCGAAAGGG
This 253-nucleotide ribosomal RNA is filed under the name uncultured bacterium. RNAcentral describes it as "partial 16S ribosomal RNA". It matches the Rfam family "Bacterial small subunit ribosomal RNA", at positions 524 to 776 of the family's 1533-position model. The record is from RNAcentral.